RNAcentral lists this ribosomal RNA (497 nucleotides) under uncultured bacterium. RNAcentral's name for it is "partial 16S ribosomal RNA". It matches the Rfam family "Bacterial small subunit ribosomal RNA", at positions 28 to 507 of the family's 1533-position model. The record is from RNAcentral.
GAUGAACGCUGGCGGCGUGCCUAAUACAUGCAAGUCGAGCGAACAGACGAGGAGCUUGCUCCUCUGACGUUAGCGGCGGACGGGUGAGUAACACGUGGAUAACCUACCUAUAAGACUGGGAUAACUUCGGGAAACCGGAGCUAAUACCGGAUAAUAUAUUGAACCGCAUGGUUCAAUAGUGAAAGACGGUUUUGCUGUCACUUAUAGAUGGAUCCGCGCCGCAUUAGCUAGUUGGUAAGGUAACGGCUUACCAAGGCGACGAUGCGUAGCCGACCUGAGAGGGGGAUCGGCCACACUGGAACUGAGACACGGUCCAGACUCCUACGGGAGGAAGCAGUAGGGAAUCUUCCGCAAUGGGCGAAAGCUUGACGGAGCAACGCCGCGUGAGUGAUGAAGGUCUUCGGAUCGUAAAACUCUGUUAUUAGGGAAGAACAAAUGUGUAAGUAACUAUGCACGUCUUGACGGUACCUAAUCAGAAAGCCACGGCUAACUACGUG